UUUCCGUAGGUGAACCUGCGGAAGGAUCAUUACCGAGUGAGGGUCUCUCAGGCCCGACCUCCCACCCUGUGUCUUUGUGACCUUGUUGCUUUGGCGGUUCCGCGUCGAUGUGAGGCCGCCGGGAGCUCACUGCGUUGGGCCCGCCCUCGCAAGUAGCCCCCUUAAAUUCAUAAUAAACCUUUUGUCUGAGUCUAAAUAUAAUAAAAAAAACAUUCAACAACUGUUCCCUUGGUUCUGACAUCGACGAAUAACGAAAGCGAACGGAAGAGCACACGUCUC
Molecule: unclassified non-coding RNA, 279 nt
Filed under: plant metagenome
Description: partial contains small subunit ribosomal RNA, internal transcribed spacer 1, and 5.8S ribosomal RNA
Source: RNAcentral